UAAGGAAUAUUGGACAAUGCCCGCAAGGGUGAUCCAGCCAUGCCGCGUGCAGGAAGACGGCCCUAUGGGUUGUAAACUGCUUUUGAACAAGAGAAAACCCCUUUACGUGUAAAGGGCUGAUAGUCUUGUUAGAAUAAGCAUCGGCUAACUUCGUGCCAGCAGCCGCGGUAAGACGAAGGAUGCAAGCGUUAUCCGGCUUCAUUGGGUUUAAAGGGUGCGUAGGCGGCCAGAUAAGUCAGCGGUGAAAUCCUGUUGCUUAACAACAGAACUGCCAUUGAUACUGUUUGGCUUGAGUAUAGUUGCUGUGGGCGGAAUAUGACAUGUAGUGGUGAAAUACAUAGAGAUGUCAUAGAACACCGAUUGCGAAGGCAGCUCACAAAACUAUAACUGACACUGAGGCUCGAAAGUGCGGGGAUCAAAC
This 421-nucleotide ribosomal RNA is filed under the name uncultured bacterium. RNAcentral's name for it is "bacterial SSU rRNA". It matches the Rfam family "Bacterial small subunit ribosomal RNA", at positions 355 to 773 of the family's 1533-position model. The record is from RNAcentral.